This 496-nucleotide long non-coding RNA is filed under the name Erythranthe guttata (spotted monkey flower). Its description in RNAcentral is "long non-coding RNA (EGUT_LNC000775)". The record is from RNAcentral. Lineage: Eukaryota; Viridiplantae; Streptophyta; Magnoliopsida; Lamiales; Phrymaceae.
AAGACCCCAAUUAACCCUAACCUUCUCCACUCAAUAUUUCUCUCGCCCUCAAAUACCUGGAUCUGGCGCCGCUUUGCAUUUUUAACUCCACUACCAUCGGUUCUUAACCAUUCAUUUGCAAUCGCUUUCUCUCUCCAGUAAUGGGUUAUAUUUAUUAUGAGGAAUCCGCGAGACGAGGCCGUGCCAGUUCUAUCGGAAGGGAAAGAAGCAGGGCAGAUAUGUGAAUAAGAACUUAUGGAGAGGAAUUUUCAGUGAUUUCUCUAAUAGAGAAUGCAACCUUCAUAUGUAAAGGUACCGGUGAAUUGAUUCAAUAGAUAAUUUUAAAUAUUUACUAUUUAAUUUCUUAUUUUUGUGCCGAAUAAAUUCUAAGAUCCAGUUUAAUUGCUCAUGGGUAGGUACUAAAUGUUUGAUGGAGAUAAAAUUCUAAUUGCUCGGAACUUCCAGAUUCGAUGUAAGAAUUAUGUGCUUUUUAGUUUUUAUAAAUGCUCAUUUUUAG